This 251-nucleotide ribosomal RNA is filed under the name uncultured bacterium. RNAcentral describes it as "partial 16S rRNA". It matches the Rfam family "Bacterial small subunit ribosomal RNA", at positions 505 to 755 of the family's 1533-position model. The record is from RNAcentral.
GUGUCAGCAGCCGCGGUAAUACGUAGGGAGCGAGCGUUGUCCGGAUUUACUGGGUGUAAAGGGUGCGUAGGCGGCUCUGCAAGUCAGGCGUGAAAUACAUGGGCUUAACUCAUGGACUGCGUUUGAAACUGUGGAGCUUGAGUGAAGUAGAGGUAGGCGGAAUUCCCGGUGUAGCGGUGAAAUGCGUAGAGAUCGGGAGGAAAAACAGGGGCUAAGGCGGCCUACUGGGCUGUAACUGACGCUGAGGCACG